This is an RNA transcript of Rosa chinensis, 1763 nucleotides long. It is a transcript of the gene named 26S proteasome non-ATPase regulatory subunit 14 homolog, with no coding region annotated. The record is from RefSeq and is a predicted model, not a curated record. The transcript is spliced from 7 exons. NCBI's taxonomy places the organism in Eukaryota, Viridiplantae, Streptophyta, Magnoliopsida, Rosales, Rosaceae.
AGGUAUGGAGAGGCUGCAGAGAAUCUUCGCCGGUGCCGGAGGAGCUUUGGGCCACCCGCCGCCCGACUCCCCCACCCUCGAUUCCUCCGAGCAGGUCUACAUCUCCUCCUUGGUGCUCCUCAAAAUGCUCAAGCACGGUAACUCUACGCUUGAUUGAUUUUUCAACUUCGGAUUCAUGCACGGACUUCAAAAAAACCCUAAGCGAUUCCUUUUGUGGCUAUGUUCAUCGAAAUAUGCAAAUACAUGUUAUUGUUGGCUCAUUUAGACCAGAGAUGGUAGUUGGGCGGUACCAUUCGCAUCCUGGAUUUGGAUGUUGGCUAUCCGGUGUGGACAUUAAUACCCAGCAGAGCUUUGAAGCUUUGAAUCAACGGGCUGUAGCUGUAGUGGUGGAUCCAAUUCAGAGCGUGAAGGGGAAGGUAGUCAUUGAUGCAAUCCGCCUUAUCAACCCACAAACUAUGAUGCUUGGCCAAGAACCACGGCAGACCACAUCCAAUCUCGGGCAUCUAAAUAAGCCAUCAAUUCAAGCCUUGAUCCAUGGGUUAAAUCGUCAUUAUUACUCCAUAGCAAUCAAUUACCGGAAGAAUGAACUCGAGGAGAAAAUGUUGCUUAACCUUCACAAGAAGAAAUGGACAGAUGGGCUGACACUAAAGCGAUUUGACACUCAUUCAAAAACAAAUGAGCAAACAGUUCAGGAGAUGUUAAAUCUAGCUGUUAAAUACAACAAGGCAGUGCAGGAGGAGGAUGAGCUGCCACCAGAGAAGCUUGCAAUUGCAAAUGUGGGAAGACAAGAUGUUAAGAAGCACCUCGAAGAGCAUGUCUCCAACUUAAUGUCCUCAAACAUUGUCCAGACCUUGGGCACAAUGCUUGAUACUCUGGUGUUCUAGAGUUUAGUAAGCAACUGCUUGGCCCGCAAGAUGGACAACAUUGUGGAUUCUCUAAACAACGCAUACCAAGAGUUUGUUGUUGCUGCAGCUAAUGUGCUCGAGGCCAAGGAAACUUCUGGCGGCCAAAAAACAACAGCCACGGAUACUGCCCUAGAGAGCUUUCAGCAGAAGUGGGAACUCUUCAGAGUGACUUGUGAUCAAGCAGAGGAGUUUGUGGAGUCUGUGAAGCAAAGGAUUGGCUCAGAGUGUCUGGUGGAUGAGGCAACCGGCCCUGUGGUAGGGAAGUCUGGGCAGACUACGACAACUGGGCUCCCACCAAUCAGUGCAGUUUGAUUGGAACAGAGAGUAAAGCUGUUCGAUGGCUUGUCAUAGGACUUCAAUAUGGUUCCGGAACAGCUGCUGGUUCAGCACACUCUCAUCAAUCAGCUCCUUUUGAUGCUAGAUUCUCUGAAGAUUCAGCUCCAUAGAUAUCAUCUUUGGAACAUCAGGUCAAUAAGAUGGGUUAUGUAAUCAGUCUGAGUAAUGUUAAAGAUGCUGUUUACAGUUCAAGGACUGUUAGAUUCUGCUGUGUUUGGGUGAUAUCGAAUACACCGGAUGCAGUCGUACUAGGUUCCAGAUCAUUGUUUCUGCUUCAGCAGUUGUGCUUUUGUGGGAGGCAAUAUGCAAAUCAUUUGUGGUUCCUUUGUAAUCUAUAACUGCCCGUAGUAUUGUUGCCUCUGAUGCACUCUUACACCUACAAUAGACUAUUUCUAGGAGACUUUUAACUUGUAACAACUGAUCAAGAGCCAAGAGCAGUGCUUUUGUUGAAGUCAUGUAUUUACUGCCGUUUCUUUGUAAUUGUAGGAAGGAAGCUGAUUCCAAUAAGUUCAUCUUGAAAAA